RNAcentral lists this ribosomal RNA (468 nucleotides) under uncultured bacterium. RNAcentral's name for it is "partial 16S ribosomal RNA". It matches the Rfam family "Bacterial small subunit ribosomal RNA", at positions 28 to 507 of the family's 1533-position model. The record is from RNAcentral.
GACGAACGCUGGCGGCGUGCUUAACACAUGCCAGUCGAACGGAAAGGCCCUGCUUUUGUGGGGUGCUCGAGUGGCGAACGGGUGAGUAACACGUGAGUAACCUGCCCUUGACUUUGGGAUAACUUCAGGAAACUGGGGCUAAUACCGGAUAGGAGCUCCUGCUGCAUGGUGGGGGUUGGAAAGUUUCGGCGGUUGGGGAUGGACUCGCGGCUUAUCAGCUUGUUGGUGGGGUAGUGGCUUACCAAGGCUUUGACGGGUAGCCGGCCUGAGAGGGUGACCGGCCACAUUGGGACUGAGAUACGGCCCAGACUCCUACGGGAGGCAGCAGUGGGGAAUAUUGCAGAAUGGGCGGAAGCCUGAUGCAGCAACGCCGCGUGCGGGAUGACGGCCUUCGGGUUGUAAACCGCUUUCGCCUGUGACGAAGCGUGAGUGACGGUAAUGGGUAAAGAAGCACCGGCUAACUACGUG